This 498-nucleotide ribosomal RNA is filed under the name uncultured bacterium. RNAcentral's name for it is "partial 16S ribosomal RNA". It matches the Rfam family "Bacterial small subunit ribosomal RNA", at positions 28 to 508 of the family's 1533-position model. The record is from RNAcentral.
GAUGAACGCUGGCGGCGUGCCUAAUACAUGCAAGUCGAGCGAACAGACGAGGAGCUUGCUCCUCUGACGUUAGCGGCGGACGGGUGAGUAACACGUGGAUAACCUACCUAUAAGACUGGGAUAACUUCGGGAAACCGGAGCUAAUACCGGAUAACAUGUUGAACCGCAUGGUUCAACAGUGAAAGACGGUCUUGCUGUCACUUAUAGAUGGAUCCGCGCCGCAUUAGCUAGUUGGUAAGGUAACGGCUUACCAAGGCAACGAUGCGUAGCCGACCUGAGAGGGUGGUCGGCCACACUGGAACUGAGACACGGUCCAGACUCCUACGGGAGGCAGCAGUAGGGAAUCUUCCGCAAUGGGCGAAAGCCUGACGGAGCAACGCCGCGUGAGUGAAGAAGGUCUUCGGAUCGUAAAACUCUGUUAUUAGGGAAGAACAAAUGUGUAAGUAACUAUGCACGUCUUGACGGUACCUAAUCAGAAAGCCACGGCUAACUACGUGC